UUGUGUAAAUAGAUUUCUUCUUGAAAAAUCAUUGCAAAUAGCAGAAGGCUGGGCAUAUUUGUAUUCACAGCCCCAUGUGUAUUUUGUCAGAUGCUGUUCUUGUAUUGUUUUAAUAGUUUGUGACCUUUUGUAUUCUUCAUCGUUUGCCUCAAUGUCAAUGGUAUUGUUUUCUGUUCUUGAUUUUAAAGAAAGAGUGAGAUAGAUGGGUAAGUAAAAUCAUUCUGAUAAAGAAGAGAUUCAAGUUUUCUUGGAUUAUUAGUUUAUUACCAAGUUUGGUUAAUACGUGUAGCUCUGUCUUGAACUGUUUUUGUGCUGCCUUCUUGGCCACAUUUGAGUUAUCUGGAUUACAUACAUGCUCAGGAUGAUGCCGGGAGAUACAAGGAGUUGUUGAUGCCUUCAUAUUAAAUACAGUAUUUAAGUUUGUCUUAUAAAGUUACAUCAGAGAUUACAAUAAUUACAGAAGCAAACCUCUUAUAUGCCCCCAAUGAAUCUGACCCAAGAACAGAAGAAAUGUUUGAAUUUGCAAAAAGAAUAAACCCAAAAAAAAAGGCUGACACAACUAAAGAAGAACUCCUUCCAUGAUGCAUAAUCAAUAUUGAGGUGUGUAGGAGUAACUAGGUUUGUUUUGGUUUUGGCUUAAAUUCAUGUGUCCUUGUCUUCCUUCUCUUGAGUAUUGAUCCCACAUCAUCUGCUCUUCCAUCAACUUUCUCUGUUUCUUCUCCAUGUCAUUCAUCUGCACAUACGCUGGCGGCGCAACCUCCAAGGACGCAGCAAAUGGAUCCAUCGGUACAGUGCCAUUGCUGUUUCCAUUAGCCGUUGCUGGUGCUGGAAGUGCCAGCAUGGUUGCUAUAAUUGUUACAAAACUCAUGUCAAAAAAUUAGUAUAAUAUGCAAACAAAGACAUAUCAAAGUAACGUUUCUUUUAAAACCUGCUGGUCUUCCUGCAGAACCAAAUGCCAUACUGCUUGCACUUCCGCUAGCUCCAUAAGCCGUGGAGGUUUGCACAGCAGCGUUCACAGUGCCGUGCUGAUACAUUCCGUUGAGAAGCAACAUAUCAAAGCCUCCUCCGAGUUCCGUCUUUUGUCCUGAUAAUUUUGUAGCGGUUUGCACCAAAGCUGUCUCCCAAUCUGCUCCAUCAUCAUUAAACGCUUCCCAUCCAGGACCGGUCUCUGCACCCGAACCGCUCGCGUAAGGGCCAUCGAAUAAAGCCAAUGCUAAGCUAUCUCCAGCUUCUAAAGCUUCAUUACCGUUUAUAUCCACAAGAUCCAGCAAAUCACCAACUUCUUCUUGCUUCUUCUCUAUUAUCACUUCCUCCUCGGGUUGUUCUUCUUCCUCUUCCUCUUCUUUUGGUGGAGGUGCAGGUAAGGCCUUGAUAGCAUUCAUAUCUUCUUCCUCCUCGUUCACUUCCUCUGCUCUCUCAUCAUCAUCCUCUUCAACAGACUGUGAUUCCUUGGUCUGGUCUAAAGUGGAUUUGUCUUUUAUAAACUCAUCCAUGAGAUCAAGCUUCUUCUGUGUGAUCUUCUCUAUCUCAGGGUACUCUGAAGACCUAGCGAUCCCCAUGUUCUUACACCAGGAAUAGAACUGAUCUAGCUCUUCAAACUGUUUAGAGACGCGGCAGAAAAUGUCAUAGACCUUGAUCGAAUCAGGUAUGUCUAACUCCAUGAACCGUUCGAUUAAAACCCCCAUUAUCUCAGUUAUAUCGUAAUAUAUCUGGAAGCUCUCCUUCACUAUAGGAUACAGAGCCACAAUCACAACUCUGUUGUUCCUCGCGCCACCUGUUUUAAAAAGUGAUAACUUGUUAUCCAAGAAACAACGAAGAUAGCGACAAAAGAAAACUGCGGUUUUGAACCGAACCGAACCAAAAAUUUUGGUUAGUUUGGUUUGGUCGUUACAAAUAAAGUUCAAUUCGGCAUGUUUGUGAAAAAACUUAGGUUUUCAGUUAAUUUGAUUUUCCAAAAGAAAAAAAAAAGUAACUAAGUUUCCAAUGAACUAAUAGAAUUAACAAAAAUUCAAAUCAAAACAAUCAAACUAACCGAAAUUACCGAAUUUAAACAAAAAUACCAAAUUUUAACUGAAAUAUAAUCGAAACCAAAAACUUCGGGUUAGUUUAAAUAAAAAAAAGUUAAAAACAGAACUACCCAAAUACCGAACCGAACAAAUUUUUCUGGUUCAAUUCAUUGAGAUUUUGGCCAAACCGAACCACCCGAACCUCAAGCCUAUGGAUGUGGUACCUGUUGGACGACAAGCCAAGAAACGGUCAAGAAGCUGCUGCAAAUGCUGUACUCUGGUGAAAAUCUUCUCUGUUUUCAUCUCUGCGAUGGGUUGUGACCUAACCACUAUAGCCGUGGAGAGAUCAGCCUCAUGCUUAUCUUUCUCAUCUUCCACCGCAUCUCCUCCUCCAACGCAGUAAACCCCACGUUUCCCGUGCCUCGUUUGCAUCCUAAAAUCAAGCCUUUCAUCUAGGUACAAUGCAUACGUCCUUACAAAAGCAGAGUAGUCCCACGAGUUUGACCUAGAAACAUCUCUAAAGUCAGACAUGUUGAGAAGUCUUGUCCCACGUCGAGUAGCGAAGAAGAUCUCUUGCUCGUAAGCCUUAUCUCCUUCUGCUAAUAGCCGUUGGAUCAGAAUCAAGGUUUUGAGAGCGACGGUCCAGCAUUUGGUUUUGUUGAGGCGUCUAGAAAGCGUGUUGACGCAUGCGUUGAUGUAGUUGCGUGAGUAAGAAGUUAGGCUAAGAAUCUCUCUUAUGUAUUUCUCUUCUGCUGGAUACUCUUCGUGACGAGUAGCUUUGACGAUGGCUACGUCAAGCUCUGAUAGAGAAGAGCUUCGGCCGUUGACUUUGGCUAGACCGGCGCUGGUUUGGUCCUUCACGGCUCCUAUGGCUCGUUUAAGUUUACUCGAACCCAUUUUUUUACGAUUUAUUAAAAUGUAUAUAAGAAAAGAAAAUUAGAAAACGUAAAGAUAAAGACAAAAAGAUAUGAAGAGAGAAAAGGGGAAGAGAACGAGGGUUGCUUUGUUAUGUGCUCACACAGCUACAGUCACAUGUCUACGUGUAAGUCAACCGUACAUGAUGAUUGCAAGUGGGUCAGAUGAUUGCACAGUUAUAAUAUGGGAUCUCAGUUCGAUGAGUUUUGUGAGGCAGCUUCCUGACUUCCCAGUUCCCAUUUCAGCAAUCUACAUAAAUGACCUUACCGGGGAGAUUGUAACUGCGGCUGGAACUGCCCUUGCGGUUUGGAGCAUCAAUGGCGACUGCCUUGCUGUGGCUAACACAUCGCAGUUACCAUCUGAUUCAGUAUUAUCUGUAACAGGUUCCACGUCUUCUGACUGGCUUGAAACAGCAUGGUAUGUAACUGGUCAUCAGAGUGGAGCAAUUAAAAUAUGGCGGAUGAUACAUUGCACUGAUCCGUUGAGUGCCGAGAGCAAAACAAGUAGUAGCAACAGAAACGGAGGGCUGAAUUUGGGUGAUCAAGUGCCAGAGUACAAGUUGAUUCUGCAUAAGGUGCUGAAAUUCCAUAAACAACCGGUCACCGCUCUCUAUCUCCCGGGCGACCUGAAGCAGUUACUGAGCGGCGAUUCAGCUGGACAAUUGCUUUCAUGGACAUUGCCAGAUGAGACAUUAAGAGCUUCGUUGAAACAAGCUUCGUUGAAAUAAGCUUCACUGAAACAGGCGUCAUAGGUUUAGGAUGUAAAGCUGAGACCAGUCAUUCCCCUUUGGUUUCUUUGGUUAGAACCGAGAGAGAGAGCUGGCGAAGGGACUUGAAGACAGGACCAAAUAGUAGGAAGAAGACCAAAGUCUGAACAAAGUGCUGGCUCUGUUGCAUAAAUGGCUUGCAGGUUAAAGAGAAAAAGAGCAAGGUGAGCCAGUCUGGCUUCUGAUUGCUGGUGAGUUUUCAGAAUUAGGAAGGAGAUGGAAGAUGAGGUUUGGUUUGAGAAUUUGUGUAAAUAGAUUUCUUCUUGAAAAAUCAUUGCAAAUAGCAGAAGGCUGGGCAUAUUUGUAUUCACAGCCCCAUGUGUAUUUUGUCAGAUGCUGUUCUUGUAUUGUUUUAAUAGUUUGUGACCUUUUGUAUUCUUCAUCGUUUGCCUCAAUGUCAAUGGUAUUGUUUUCUGUUCUUGGUUUUAAAGAAAGAGUGAGAGAGAUGGGAAAGUAAAAUCAUUCUGAUAAAGAAGAGAUGG
RNAcentral lists this long non-coding RNA (4169 nucleotides) under Brassica napus (rape). RNAcentral describes it as "long non-coding RNA (BNAP_LNC008642)". Lineage: Eukaryota; Viridiplantae; Streptophyta; Magnoliopsida; Brassicales; Brassicaceae. The record is from RNAcentral.